Long non-coding RNA from Oreochromis aureus, 2310 nucleotides. The record is from Ensembl. Lineage: Eukaryota; Metazoa; Chordata; Actinopteri; Cichliformes; Cichlidae.
GGAAUUGUGACAUUAAAAAGCAAUAAUUACUAAAAGAAAUUUAAUUUGUAGUUCUAAAUAAAUUCUAACUGCAUUUAGGACGUUUUUUACUCACUUUAUGUCUCUUCCACGAUGUUAUUUCUCUCUCCAACAACGUACGUUACAAUUACAUUAGCGUGACCAAUUAUGCAAAUUAGGCGAUGACGUCAUUUAGCGACUUCUAGGACAGCGAUUUUCCUUACUGAGGAGUUGGCAACACUGGUUCAGUCAGUCUAGUUUCACUUUCCUUUGAGAAAAGUCCAACCUCCGUAUUCUCUGAUUUUUUUUUUCUUAUUUUCUACGGUUGAAAUCAUGGAUGUUUUGCUUGAGGAAAUAAGAAGCAUCGAUGAAGCAGCAGCUUCUGUACUGGAACUGGCAGAUUUGACCAGUGACUCAGAUCUCCAGUCACUGACUUUGCAAGACCUGGGUGAGCUGCUCCCUGGAGUUAAAAAUGUCAAACUGAGAAGGAAAAUCUUUGAUAUAAUACAGAUGCAGAAACCAAUUGGUGUGCCUGUGAAAGAAUUCAAGGAAUCUCUCAGCGCUGCCUUAACCGAAAAUGGAGUCUUGGUGGACUACCUGAAAAUGUUGAAGGAAAUGAAGAUCCAAAUGAAUAAAAUGCAGGAUUUCCUUGAUGCACAUAUCAAUCAACUGGAGGACUUCAGGAAAUCUCAACCAUUGCAGAACCAGGAGAAAGGAUCUUUGUCAAGUAGUCACAAUAGCCAAACUGGUGACCCUCCACAAACACAACAAGCUGCCAGUAGUGCAUUGCACUCCUCACGCUCUACUACUGUCAAGCGUGACCAUCCAGAGAAAAGACAAGCCACACUGAAGUACAAGAUGGUGAUCAGUGGAAAAACUUUUAAUGCCCAUCAGCAGAUACUGGACAAAGUAAAGUCUGUAAGUGAGGAUCCUGAUUUGAAUUUGAUCAAACAGGAAGGAAGCGAUCAGAAUUGCCAGGCCAUUAUUGUCUUCUGUCCCAUUGCUUCACGUAUGGGGACAGAUAUUGAUGCAGCCAUGGAGCGAGUCACAGGUUCUCAGCCUGUCAUUCUGGUUUUGAUGCAUCACGCACAUGAACCCAAACAUCUAACUUUAAUGAAAAUACAGACUAAUGUUUCUAAUGUUGUGUCACCAUUCCAUAUAUUCUACCAUGAGACAGUGAAUGGAUUGUUGCAGUGUCAGCAAAAUAACAGUGCCAUUUCUGAAAUUCGAGAUGCAUUACUGAAGCACGCAGAUAUUCAGACAAUUACAGAUACAACUGGAAAGACACAGAAUGUGGCUGCUAAAAGUAGUAAUAGUGGUGGUAGUAUUAGUAAUUCAUUAAUGAGAAUUCAAUCCUUUUUUGGUAAAUAAUGAUAGUGUAAAGUCAGAUAUAACAAGUCAAAGAAACUGUAAAUAUGUCCCAUGCAUUACUCUUUUGUAAUCCGCUUUUUUUUGCACUGUAUCACUUGAGCAGUGUAGAUUGCUCUGACCGUUUGCAUAGAAAUUGAGGAUUUUAUGGUUUUGAUCAUGCAAAAGAAUUAUUUUGUGCAUUGUGAAACAAAAGGGCAGCACAGAAUUGCCUUUGUGGUCUUUAUUUCAGUACUUUAAGAUAUUUCAGCUGUAAGGGUAGUUGCAGAGUCAACAGGUAUGAUCAUGAAGUGUCAAAGAAGAGGUCAGAGACACAGUAUAUAGGGUGUAGAUAGUCAUAAAACUACUUUCAACUGUACCAACUGCUAUUUAUCUCUAAAAAAACAAAAGUGACAGUUACAGCUGUAUGUACACAGUGACACCGUAAGUCUUUUGAUCACUAAGAUAAAUAAUCAAUGCAUUUCUAUCAAAGUCAAAUGUAUUGUGAUUAGUUUCACGGUUGCUAUGUAAAUCUGCAAGUUAAUUUCAUCUUUCAGAAAAAAAAUCAAGCCAAUGUUUAAAAUUGUGAAUAAAAAUGUAAAUACAACAUCUGUUGUCUUCUUUUUCUUUUUUCCCUUAUUUUUUAAAAAAUUGAGGUGUCCUCAAAACACCAGUGUAUUUACAGUAUAAUUUAACCUAGUUCAGCUAAUGUUUCUGCUGUUAUUUUCUAUAUUCUUGGCUUUUACUCACACUAAGAAGGACUAAAGAAUGUAAAGACCACAUAUUCAGUGAUAAGCCCACUUUAUACAUGUAUACAUUAUAUUCAUAGAAAAUGAAAAAUUGUGUAUGUGAAAAACUUUUUUUUUGUUUGUUUUAUGGCUGGUGUAAAGUUUGUCAUCUAAAUAAAAAUGAACUAACAUAAACUGCGCUGUAUUCUAGUAUUUGACGGAAUAAUUACGUUUAAUC